AUGAACGCUAGCGGCAGGCCUAACACAUGCAAGUCGAACGGUAACAGGAGAAGCUUGCUUUUCGCUGACGAGUGGCGCACGGGUGAGUAACGCGUAUGCAACCUGCCUUAUACUGGGGGAUAGCCCAAAGAAAUUUGGAUUAAUACCGCAUAACAUAUUUGAAUCGCAUGGUUUAAAUAUUAAAACUCCGGUGGUUAAAGAUGGGUAUGCGUGACAUUAGUUUCUUGGUGAGGUAACGGCUCACCAAGACUACGAUGUCUAGGGGUUCUGAGAGGAUGAUCCCCCACACUGGUACUGAGACACGGACCAGACUCCUACGGGAGGCAGCAGUGAGGAAUAUUGGUCAAUGGACGAAAGUCUGAACCAGCCAUCCCGCGUGCAGGACGAAUGCCCUAUGGGUUGUAAACUGCUUUUAUUUGGGAAGAAACCCCUUUACGUGUAAAGGGCUGACGGUACCAAACGAAUAAGGACCGGCUAACUCCGUGCCAGCAGCCGCGGUAAUACGGAGGGUCCAAGCGUUAUCCGGAUUUAUUGGGUUUAAAGGGUCCGUAGGUGGAAAAUUAAGUCAGUGGUGAAAGCCGGUAGCUCAACUAUCGAACUGCCAUUGAUACUGAUUUUCUUGAGUGUAGUUGAAGUAGGCGGAAUAUGUCAUGUAGCGGUGAAAUGCAUAGAUAUGACAUAGAACACCGAUCGCGAAGGCAGCUUACUAAGCUAUUACUGACACUGAGGGACGAAAGCGUGGGGAGCGAACAGGAUUAGAUACCCUGGUAGUCCACGCCGUAAACGAUGAUUACUCGUUGCUAGCGAUACACUGUUAGUGACUAAGCGAAAGUGUUAAGUAAUCCACCUGGGGAGUACGAUCGCAAGGUUGAAACUCAAAGGAAUUGACGGGGGCCCGCACAAGCGGUGGAGCAUGUGGUUUAAUUCGAUGAUACGCGAGGAACCUUACCAGGGCUUAAAUGUAGGACGUAGGUUAGAAAUAUUCUUUUCCUUCGGGACUAUUUACAAGGUGCUGCAUGGCCGUCGUCAGCUCGUGCCGUGAGGUGUCGGGUUAAGUCCCAUAACGAGCGCAACCCCUAUCUUUAGUUGCCAGCGGGUCAUGCCGGGGACUCUAGGAAAACUGCCAGCGUAAGCUGUGAGGAAGGUGGGGAUGACGUCAAAUCAGCACGGCCCUUACGUCUAGGGCUACACACGUGCUACAAUGGCCGGUACAGAGGGCAGCUACCACGCGAGUGGAUGCGAAUCUCCAAAGCCGGUCUCAGUUCGGAUCGCAGUCUGCAACUCGACUGCGUGAAGUUGGAUUCGCUAGUAAUCGUAUAUCAGCAAUGAUACGGUGAAUACGUUCCCGGGCCUUGUACACACCGCACGUCAAACAAUGGAAGCUGGGAGCGCCUGAAGU
RNAcentral lists this ribosomal RNA (1399 nucleotides) under uncultured prokaryote. Its description in RNAcentral is "partial 16S ribosomal RNA". It matches the Rfam family "Bacterial small subunit ribosomal RNA". The record is from RNAcentral.